AUGAAAUUUAUUCCCAAUUUGAAGUGGCAGUGUAUACAAAGGUAACAGAGCUUGUGAUAAUUUACAGAAAUAUUUGCUACAGCAUGCACAUUAUGACGUGUUUCAAACAUAUACAUAUUAAAUUCAUGCUGAAUAAAUAAUCCCCCCCUUCAACGUGAAUAGGAGUAAUUUCAUCUCUGCACCUAAUUGGACCUCAGAAUUAAUAGCUGGUCUGUGCAAACCAUGAUCUGAAUGUAGCCGUGGAGUGUUCUUACCUAUGAAUGCAACGGAAGGUUACCAGCACACGUGGCCACUUGCUUCCUCUCGUGUUUAUCUUGACAGCAGAGACUUUGGAAUUGUAUAUUAUACAGUUUUUAAGCAGAAUGUUUUAGAAAGUCUGGAAGUUACAAAAGUACUUCUGUAAACACUAUAUGAAUUAAAUUUCCAUAACAAACACGCAAGUUAUUCUUAUCCAGGAAUAUAUUUUUUUAUCUCA
RNAcentral lists this long non-coding RNA (475 nucleotides) under Bos taurus (domestic cattle). RNAcentral's name for it is "long non-coding RNA NONBTAT016921". Lineage: Eukaryota; Metazoa; Chordata; Mammalia; Artiodactyla; Bovidae. The record is from RNAcentral.